RNAcentral lists this unclassified non-coding RNA (200 nucleotides) under Hyaloscyphaceae sp. RNAcentral describes it as "partial internal transcribed spacer 2". Lineage: Eukaryota; Fungi; Ascomycota; Leotiomycetes; Helotiales; Hyaloscyphaceae. The record is from RNAcentral.
UUAAGUUCAGCGGGUAUCCCUACCUGAUCCGAGGUCAACCUUUGAUAAAUUGGGGGUUGCUGGCAAGCAAACACCUAGAUCUCCAGAGCGAGAAGAAUUACUACGCUUAGAGCCAGAUGGCACCGCCACUGAUUUUAAGGGCUGCCAGUUGGCAGGCCCCAACACCAAGCUGAGCUUGAGGGGUUAUAAUGACGCUCGAA